RNAcentral lists this ribosomal RNA (608 nucleotides) under uncultured bacterium. RNAcentral describes it as "bacterial SSU rRNA". It matches the Rfam family "Bacterial small subunit ribosomal RNA", at positions 63 to 672 of the family's 1533-position model. The record is from RNAcentral.
CGAACGGACUAUUUUGAAGAGUAAUCGGAUCUAUAGGUUAGUGGCGAAAGGGCGAGGAAUAAAUAGGUAACGUACCCCGAACUCCAGAAUAGCGUCUCGAAAGAGGCAGUAAUACUGGAUGAUAUGGUUUGCUUAAUGUAAAUCAUCAAAGAUUUAUCGGUUUGGGAGCGGCCUAUUUCCCAUCAGCUUGUUGGUAAGGUAACGGCUUACCAAGGCUACGACGGGUAUCGGNACUGAGAGGUUGACCCGACGCAUCGGAACUGAGACACUGUCCGGACCUCCACGGAGGGCUGCAGUAACGAAUAUUGCACAAUGGGCGAAAGCCUGAUGCAGCAACGCCGCGUGUAGGAUGAAGCUCCUUGGAGUGUAAACUACUGUCAGGGGUCAGAAAGUGCGCUUCGGCGUAUUGAUCACCCCCAGAGGAAGUCACGGCUAACUUCGUGCCNNCAGCCGCGGUAAUACGAAGGUGGCGAGCGUUGUUCGGAAUUAUUGGGCUUAAAGAGCACGUANGCGGAUAUGUAAGUGUCUUGUGAAAACCCCCGGCUUAACCGGGGAAUUGCUUGGCAAACUACAUAUCUUGAGUCAAGUAGGGGUACAUGGAACUCUUA